AAACUCCUACGGGAGGCAGCAGUGAGGAAUAUUGGUCAAUGGCCGAGAGGCUGAACCAGCCAAGUCGCGUGAAGGAAGAAGGAUCUAUGGUUUGUAAACUUCUUUUAUAGGGGAAUAAAGUGGAGGACGUGUCCUUUUUUGUAUGUACCCUAUGAAUAAGCAUCGGCUAACUCCGUGCCAGCAGCCGCGGUAAUACGGAGGAUGCGAGCGUUAUCCGGAUUUAUUGGGUUUAAAGGGUGCGUAGGUGGUGAUUUAAGUCAGCGGUGAAAGUUUGUGGCUCAACCAUAAAAUUGCCGUUGAAACUGGGUUACUUGAGUGUGUUUGAGGUAGGCGGAAUGCGUGGUGUAGCGGUGAAAUGCAUAGAUAUCACGCAGAACUCCGAUUGCGAAGGCAGCUUACUAAACCAUAACUGACACUGAAGCACGAAAGCGUGGGGAUCAAACAGGAUUAGAUACCCUGGUAGUCCACGCAGUAAACGAUGAUUACUAGGAGUUUGCGAUACAAUGUAAGCUCUACAGCGAAAGCGUUAAGUAACCCACCUGGGGAGUACGCCGGCAACGGUGAAACUCAAAGGAAUUGACGGGGGCCCGCACAAGCGGAGGAACAUGUGGUUUAAUUCGAUGAUACGCGAGGAACCUUACCCGGGUUUGAACGUAGUCUGACCGGAGUGGAAACACUCCUUCUAGCAAUAGCAGAUUACGAGGUGCUGCAUGGUUGUCGUCAGCUCGUGCCGUGAGGUGUCGGCUUAAGUGCCAUAACGAGCGCAACCCUUAUCACUAGUUACUAACAGGUGAAGCUGAGGACUCUGGUGAGACUGCCAGCGUAAGCUGUGAGGAAGGUGGGGAUGACGUCAAAUCAGCACGGCCCUUACAUCCGGGGCGACACACGUGUUACAAUGGCAUGGACAAAGGGCAGCUACCUGGCGACAGGAUGCUAAUCUCCAAACCAUGUCUCAGUUCGGAUCGGAGUCUGCAACUCGACUCCGUGAAGCUGGAUUCGCUAGUAAUCGCGCAUCAGCCAUGGCGCGGUGAAUACGUUCCCGGGCCUUGUACACACCGCCCGUCAAGCCAUGGGAGCCGGGGGUACCUGAAGUCCGUAACCGCAAGGAUCGGCCUAGGGUAAAACUGGUGACUGGGGCUAAGUCGUAACAAGGUAGCCGUACCGGAAGGUGCGGCUG
Molecule: ribosomal RNA, 1177 nt
Filed under: human gut metagenome
Description: bacterial SSU rRNA
Rfam family: Bacterial small subunit ribosomal RNA
Source: RNAcentral